UACGGAGGGUGCAAGCGUUAUCCGGAAUCACUGGGUUUAAAGGGUGCGUAGGCGGUCUAAUAAGUCAGUCGUGAAAUCGCUGGGCUCAACCCAUGCAAUUGCGAUUGAUACUGUUAGACUUGAAUGGGGUUGAGGCUAGCGGAAUGCGACAUGUAGCGGUGAAAUGCUUAGAUAUGUCGCAGAACACCGAUUGCGAAGGCAGCUAGCUGGGCCUAUAUUGACGCUGAGGCACGAAAGCGUGGGGAGCAAACAGGAUUAGAUACCCUGGUAGUCCACGCCCUAAACGAUGCUUACUUGCUGUUCCUCAAUUAGAGGAGUGGCGAAGGGAAACCGCUAAGUAAGCCACCUGGGGAGUACGCCGGCAACGGUGAA
This 372-nucleotide ribosomal RNA is filed under the name uncultured bacterium. RNAcentral's name for it is "bacterial SSU rRNA". It matches the Rfam family "Bacterial small subunit ribosomal RNA", at positions 524 to 898 of the family's 1533-position model. The record is from RNAcentral.